RNAcentral lists this long non-coding RNA (1015 nucleotides) under Pan troglodytes (chimpanzee). RNAcentral describes it as "long non-coding RNA NONPTRT004315". Lineage: Eukaryota; Metazoa; Chordata; Mammalia; Primates; Hominidae. The record is from RNAcentral.
CUUUGAGCUCAAUGCCAUGACUGAGGAAGACCACGGGGUUUUCUCUCUUAGAGGGGAGGAAUCCUUGAUAUUCUUCAUUCCAAUUGUUCACCUCUACUGUAGGGCUCAGUAAACACUUAAGGAAGUUGCCGUGCACUGCAGCCUGCCGGAGACAUGAAGGAAUGUACGGGAGGAUAAUCGCAACAUCAUCAACCCAAUUCUCCAAGUAAUUUGCCAUGGGACAGGCACACCCCAUGUGUUUGGGAAGACAAUGGGAAGGUUCUGUUUUCUGCUCCAAGACUGAUUCAACCAGUUGGAUCUGGAAGGGGAUAAAGGGCUGUGUGGCUGCUUGAUUUUCAUUGUCUAGUGGCAGCCAAAAUUGGAAAAGAGAGAAGUGCAGACUUUAAAGACAAGCAGCGACAGCUCAUCAGCAGUCUAACAACACGACAGAUGACAGGCCCAGAGGCACACCCAGGGCCGCCAGCCCAUCACCCUGUGCAGGAUGUCAAAGAGCAGCUGCAGCAAAGGAAGAAGAUCAUCCAGACUUAAAUGUUUGGGCCUUGCUAAGACCAUAGAGUCUUUGUGCUUUGGAAACAGUCCUCCAUACAAAGACCCCUUCCUAGAAAAGAGUGGAAAGAAACCAAGGUGGAAUGGAUACAACAGAAAGGAGACCAUGCUAAUAUUCUUGUGCAAUGCUUCCUGGGCAGAAAUUAUGUCAUAAAGGAUGUUCAAUUCUGCAAAGCUAUGUCUCUCUCUGCGGUUUGCCUCAGAGGAGGGGCGUUUCAUAGCUGUAGUGAGUAAGGGGGCCCUUGCUGACGUUCAUCAGAUAUGCCAAGGCACAGGAAGAAAGCAUUGAGGUCACAGGGCAGCUCAGGUCCGCCUGUGGUAAUUGAAAACAGGUGACGAGAUUGGGUUGAUUUUAUUUUGGAAAAGUAAAUUAGUGCUGCACCACUCGGACAUGGCUAAUUCAUGAAGCCUCUGGUUUGUAUUAGACACCCAACAUGCCUUUCAGAAAGAAAUGACACAACAAUUAAUG